AGAGUUUGAUCCUGGCUCAGAAUCAACGCUGGCGGCGUGCCUAAUACAUGCAAGUCGAACGCGAAAGUUCCGCAAGGAAUGAGUAGAGUGGCAAACGGGUGAGUAACGCGUGGGUGACCUGCCUUCGAGUGGGGGAUAACGUUCCGAAAGGGACGCUAAUACCGCAUGACAUCCUGCCUUUCAAGAGGUGGCGAUCAAAG
Molecule: ribosomal RNA, 200 nt
Filed under: uncultured bacterium
Lineage: Bacteria
Description: partial 16S ribosomal RNA
Rfam family: Bacterial small subunit ribosomal RNA
Source: RNAcentral